UGGUCGUCGCAAGAGGGAACCCGGUGAGAACCCGGGACUGCCCCGCAGCGGUGAACGGGAACGACCGUCGCAUCCAGGCACUGCGCCCCUGAGGGGGCGUGGGAAGCCGCGACCAGUAGGACCGGGAGGCGAGAGCCGACCGGGCGCCCGUGAGUCCGAAGACCUGCCA
Molecule: non-coding RNA, 169 nt
Filed under: Serinicoccus sp.
Lineage: Bacteria; Bacillati; Actinomycetota; Actinomycetes; Micrococcales; Ornithinimicrobiaceae
Source: RNAcentral